UACGUAGGGUGCGAGCGUUAAUCGGAAUUACUGGGCGUAAAGUGUGCGCAGGCGGCCGAGCAAGUCGAGUGUGAAAGCCCCGAGCUUAACUUGGGAAUUGCGCUCGAAACUACUUGGCUGGAGUGCGGCAGAGGAAGGUGGGAAUUCCAGGUGUAGCGGUGAAAUGCGUAGAGAUCUGGAGGAACACCGAUGGCGAAGGCAGGUCUCUGGGCCACUACUGACGCUGAGAAGCGAAAGCAUGGGGAGCGAACAGG
This 254-nucleotide ribosomal RNA is filed under the name uncultured bacterium. RNAcentral's name for it is "partial 16S ribosomal RNA". It matches the Rfam family "Bacterial small subunit ribosomal RNA", at positions 524 to 776 of the family's 1533-position model. The record is from RNAcentral.